GUGCCAGCAGCCCGCGGUAAUACGUAGGGCGCAAGCGUUAUCCGGAAUUAUUGGGCGUAAAGAGCUUGUAGGCGGUUCGUCGCGUCUGGUGUGAAAGCCCAUCGCUUAACGGUGGGUCUGCGCCGGGUACGGGCGGGCUAGAGUGCGGUAGGGGAGACUGGAAUUCCCGGUGUAACGGUGGAAUGUGUAGAUAUCGGGAAGAACACCAAUGGCGAAGGCAGGUCUCUGGGCUGUUACUGACGCUGAGAAGCGAAAGCGUGGGGAGCGAACAGGAUUAGAUACCCUGGUAGUCAAGGGCG
This 299-nucleotide ribosomal RNA is filed under the name uncultured Bifidobacteriales bacterium. Its description in RNAcentral is "partial 16S ribosomal RNA". It matches the Rfam family "Bacterial small subunit ribosomal RNA", at positions 505 to 802 of the family's 1533-position model. Lineage: Bacteria; Bacillati; Actinomycetota; Actinomycetes; Bifidobacteriales. The record is from RNAcentral.